AUUUAACAAGCUGUAGAGGUUCAUUGGCUCUUCGUAUCCGAAUUGAUUCUUCCAUCCUACUAAUCUGAUCCGGUGUAUACCUUACAACGCUAUUUAAAUCAUUAUUGGAGUAUAUAUAAAGUGAGCUGUAUAGAGAGCGAAGAACGUAAAGAGCAACAGCAAUGUUGAUGGAGCAAACUAUAAGAGUUGUUCUCUUGUACGAAAACGGGCAUACCCAUUUCACUCCCCUCGCCAUCUCCACCUCUCCCCUCUCC
Molecule: unclassified non-coding RNA, 254 nt
Filed under: Hevea brasiliensis (rubber tree)
Lineage: Eukaryota; Viridiplantae; Streptophyta; Magnoliopsida; Malpighiales; Euphorbiaceae
Source: RNAcentral